This 253-nucleotide ribosomal RNA is filed under the name uncultured bacterium. RNAcentral's name for it is "partial 16S ribosomal RNA". It matches the Rfam family "Bacterial small subunit ribosomal RNA", at positions 524 to 776 of the family's 1533-position model. The record is from RNAcentral.
UACGUAGGGUGCGAGCGUUAAUCGGAAUUACUGGGCGUAAAGCGUGCGCAGGCGGUUCGUUGUGUCGGCGGUGAAAGCCCCGGGCUCAACCUGGGAAUGGCCGUUGAAACUGGCGAACUGGAGUGUGGCAGAGGGGGGUGGAAUUCCGCGUGUAGCAGUGAAAUGCGUAGAGAUGCGGAGGAACACCGAUGGCGAAGGCAGCCCCCUGGGCUAACACUGACGCUCAGGCACGAAAGCAUGGGGAGCGAACGGG